AAUACCAUUGGGGAAAUUUAGAUUGUUGUAACAACCUCAUGUCUUCUGAUGCAUAUAAUCUGUCCCUGAGUCUAAGUGGGCUUGGAAUGUGUAUGUGUGUAUGUCCUUCAUCACACUAGUGAGAUCAAGAUGGAGAAACUGAGAUGGAACUUUUCAUGUCUUGAUCCUUAGCUUUGCUAGGGGCUGGUAACAAAUUUAACAUCCCUUUUCCUUAGCCCAUCCAUUCUGUCCUUAAAAGCGAGUAUUUUCCAUUACAUUUCUCCCACAGCCAUGAAAUAAGUGCACCUGAGAAGAACACUGAUGUGAGAGCAGUUUGAUGGUCUGUUCCUGAAAGCAAGGAUCCAGCAUAAAUGGGGAAUAAUGUCUGUCUGCAGAGAAAGUGAAAAACAAACUGAAUCUGGGUCCCAUUUAUAGUCCCUUCCUCCAUAUAUAAGCCCUCCAUAUACAAGUCGUCGUUCCACAUUCACCUACUUACCAACAUUUUGCUAGUAAUGAAGAAUAUGUGGAAUAUCCAGCUUCAUAUAACCAGCAUUGCUUGGAGGGGUUAAUACCAUAGAGUAAGCUGUUCUGCCUGGCUUAGCUAGGUCACUCCCCCUCACCUUGGUAGGAAGAGUCAUCAAGCCUUUGUUCUUCCAAUUCAGC
This 642-nucleotide long non-coding RNA is filed under the name Podarcis lilfordi (Lilford's wall lizard). Lineage: Eukaryota; Metazoa; Chordata; Lepidosauria; Squamata; Lacertidae. The record is from RNAcentral.